AUGCUCUCUCAAGGUUUCAAAAGGUCUAAUUAUGAUAGUUGUGUUUAUUUAAAAGCUGUCAAUGGUUCAACUAUUUAUUUGCUCCUUUAUGUUGAUGAUAUGCUUAUUGCUGCAAAGAGUAUGGCAGAUAUUGAUGAACUAAAGAAGCAAUUGAGUAAUGAAUUUGAGAUGAAGGAUUUGGGUGCAGCAAAGAAAAUACUUGGCAUGGAAAUAUCCAGAGAUAGACCGUCUGGAAAAGUAUAUCUAAGUCAGAAGGGAUAUAUUGAUAAAGUUCUUCGUCGUUUUAAUAUGCAUAGUGCCAAGCCGGUGAGUACACCGUUAGCUGCACACUUCAAAUUGUCAUCAGCUUUAUGUCCUAAGUCAGAUCCAGAUAUUGAGUACAUGUCUAGAGUUCCCUAUUCAAGUGCAGUUGGUUCACUUAUGUACGCAAUGGUUUGUUCUCGUCCUGACUUAUCAUAUACAUUGAGUGUUGUCAGUAGAUACAUGGCUAAUCCUGGAAAAGAGCAUUGGAAAGCAGUUCAGUGGAUUUUCAAAUACCUGCGUGGUACUUCUAAUGCUUAUUUACAGUUUGGGAAAACUAGAGAUGGACUUGUUGGUUUUGUUGAUUCUGAUUUUGCUGGUGAUUUGGAUAAGAGAAGAUCACUCACAGGUUAUGUUUUCACCAUUGGUGGUUGUGCUGUGAGUUGGAGAGCAACUUUGCGGUCUAUUGUGGCUUGUUCCAUUACCGAUGCCGAGUAG
RNAcentral lists this ribosomal RNA (738 nucleotides) under Triticum aestivum (bread wheat). RNAcentral describes it as "partial small subunit ribosomal RNA". The record is from RNAcentral. Lineage: Eukaryota; Viridiplantae; Streptophyta; Magnoliopsida; Poales; Poaceae.